GAUGAACGCUGGCGGCGUGCCUAAUACAUGCAAGUCGAGCGAACAGAUAAGGAGCUUGCUCCUUUGACGUUAGCGGCGGACGGGUGAGUAACACGUGGAUAACCUACCUAUAAGACUGGGAUAACUUCGGGAAACCGGAGCUAAUACCGGAUAACAUAUUGAACCGCAUGGUUCAAUAGUGAAAGGCGGCUUUGCUGUCACUUAUAGAUGGAUCCGCGCCGUAUUAGCUAGUUGGUAAGGUAACGGCUUACCAAGGCAACGAUACGUAGCCGACCUGAGAGGGUGAUCGGCCACACUGGAACUGAGACACGGUCCAGACUCCUACGGGAGGCAGCAGUAGGGAAUCCUCCGCAAUGGGCGAAAGCCUGACGGAGCAACGCCGCGUGAGUGAUGAAGGUCUUCGGAUCGUAAAACUCUGUUAUCAGGGAAGAACAAAUGUGUAAGUAACUGUGCACAUCUUGACGGUACCUGAUCAGAAAGCCACGGCUAACUACGUG
This 497-nucleotide ribosomal RNA is filed under the name uncultured bacterium. RNAcentral's name for it is "partial 16S ribosomal RNA". It matches the Rfam family "Bacterial small subunit ribosomal RNA", at positions 28 to 507 of the family's 1533-position model. The record is from RNAcentral.